GUUCAAAUAGCUUAAAAAGAGUAUAACAUUGAAGCUGUUAAGGUAAUUUAAAAAUUUUUGGAUA
RNAcentral lists this transfer RNA (64 nucleotides) under Vermiophis taishanensis. RNAcentral's name for it is "tRNA-Phe". Lineage: Eukaryota; Metazoa; Arthropoda; Insecta; Diptera; Vermileonidae. The record is from RNAcentral.